CCUACGGGUGGCAGCAGUGGGGAAUAUUGCGCAAUGGGCGAAAGCCUGACGCAGCGACGCCGCGUGAGGGAUGAAGGUCUUCGGAUCGUAAACCUCUGUCAGCAGGGAAGAACGGUCACUGUGCUAAUCAGCAGUGAAUUGACGGUACCUGCAAAGGAAGCACCGGCUAACUCCGGGCCAGCAGCCGCGGUAAUACGGAGGGUGCGAGCGUUAAUCGGAAUUACUGGGCGUAAAGCGCUCGUAGGCGGUAUGUCAAGUCAAGGGUGAAAGCCCCGCGCUCAACGUGGGAACUGCCUUUGAAACUGGCAAACUGGAGUGUGUGAGAGGAUAGUGGAAUGCCAGGUGUAGGAGUGAAAUCCGUAGAUAUCUGGAGGAACAUCAGUGGCGAAGGCGACUAUCUGGCACAUAACUGACGCUGAGGAGCGAAAGCGUGGGUAGCAAACAGGAUUAGAUACCCCAGUAGUC
RNAcentral lists this ribosomal RNA (465 nucleotides) under uncultured bacterium. Its description in RNAcentral is "partial 16S ribosomal RNA". It matches the Rfam family "Bacterial small subunit ribosomal RNA", at positions 338 to 795 of the family's 1533-position model. The record is from RNAcentral.